RNAcentral lists this ribosomal RNA (722 nucleotides) under uncultured Fusobacterium sp. RNAcentral's name for it is "bacterial SSU rRNA". It matches the Rfam family "Bacterial small subunit ribosomal RNA", at positions 28 to 776 of the family's 1533-position model. Lineage: Bacteria; Fusobacteriati; Fusobacteriota; Fusobacteriia; Fusobacteriales; Fusobacteriaceae. The record is from RNAcentral.
GAUGAACGCUGACAGAAUGCUUAACACAUGCAAGUCAACUUGAACUUCGGUUUGGGUGGCGGACGGGUGAGUAACGCGUAAAGAACUUGCCUCACAGAUAGGGACAACAUUUGGAAACGAAUGCUAAUACCUGAUAUUAUGAUUUUAGGGCAUCCUAGGAUUAUGAAAGCUAUAUGCGCUGUGAGAGAGCUUUGCGUCCCAUUAGCUAGUUGGAGAGGUAACGGCUCACCAAGGCGAUGAUGGGUAGCCGGCCUGAGAGGGUGAUCGGCCACAAGGGGACUGAGACACGGCCCUUACUCCUACGGGAGGCAGCAGUGGGGAAUAUUGGACAAUGGACCAAGGGUCUGAUCCAGCAAUUCUGUGUGCACGAUGAAGUUUUUCGGAAUGUAAAGUGCUUUCAGUUGGGAAGAAAAAAAUGACGGUACCAACAGAAGAAGUGACGGCUAAAUACGUGCCAGCAGCCGCGGUAAUACGUAUGUCACAAGCGUUAUCCGGAUUUAUUGGGCGUAAAGCGCGUCUAGGUGGUUAUGUAAGUCUGAUGUGAAAAUGCAGGGCUCAACUCUGUAUUGCGUUGGAAACUGUGUAACUAGAGUACUGGAGAGGUAAGCGGAACUACAAGUGUAGAGGUGAAAUUCGUAGAUAUUUGUAGGAAUGCCGAUGGGGAAGCCAGCUUACUGGACAGAUAUUGACGCUGAAGCGCGAAAGCGUGGGUAGCAAACAGG